Molecule: ribosomal RNA, 272 nt
Filed under: uncultured bacterium
Lineage: Bacteria
Description: partial 16S ribosomal RNA
Rfam family: Bacterial small subunit ribosomal RNA
Source: RNAcentral
UGGGGAAUAUUGCACAAUGGGCGCAAGCCUGAUGCAGCCAUGCCGCGUGUGUGAAGAAGGCCUUCGGGUUGUAAAGCACUUUCAGCGAGGAGGAAGGGUUCAGUGUUAAUAGCACUGUUCAUUGACGUUACUCGCAGAAGAAGCACCGGCUAACUCCGUGCCAGCAGCCGCGGUAAUACGGAGGGUGCAAGCGUUAAUCGGAAUUACUGGGCGUAAAGCGCACGCAGGCGGUUUGUUAAGUCAGAUGUGAAAUCCCGCGCUAACGUGGAACU